CACCACUUUUCCUUUCUUGCACGGAUCCAAGGAAAGGUGUCAAGAUAAGUCAAUGGGUGAAGGACAGAUUUUUCAACAACAGAUGAUGGAAGAACUGAAUGUUCAUACAGAAAAAUGUGACCCUGAACCUUUACCCUACGUUUCAAGAAGAUUAGAGACCUAAAUGUAAGAGUGAAAGCUAUAUAACUAGUGGAACAAAACAGUGUAAAUCAUCGUAACCUCAGAACAGUUGCAACUUAAUACUGGGAAGACUUUCAGAAGAAUUUCAUCAAAUAAUAAGCAGAUUAUUCAGAGAUCCAUAAUGAUAUCUUUAGACCCAAGUACAGAGGCACUUUCUUGGAAUGAUUGCAAUGGAAGAGAGAUUCGGAACGGACAAUAAAUAUUUUUAUAAUUUUAAAUAACAGUAUCAUAAAUAUAUUGGUUAGUGAAU
Molecule: long non-coding RNA, 430 nt
Filed under: Equus asinus (donkey)
Lineage: Eukaryota; Metazoa; Chordata; Mammalia; Perissodactyla; Equidae
Description: lncRNA (ENSEASG00005035908.1)
Source: RNAcentral